RNAcentral lists this non-coding RNA (30 nucleotides) under Mus musculus (house mouse). The record is from RNAcentral. Lineage: Eukaryota; Metazoa; Chordata; Mammalia; Rodentia; Muridae.
UGAGAGUCAAGUGGCUUGUCCACCAGGAGA